This 176-nucleotide small nuclear RNA is filed under the name Peromyscus maniculatus bairdii (prairie deer mouse). RNAcentral's name for it is "U1 spliceosomal RNA (ENSPEMG00000024539.1)". It matches the Rfam family "U1 spliceosomal RNA". Rfam says of the family: U1 is a small nuclear RNA (snRNA) component of the spliceosome (involved in pre-mRNA splicing). Its 5' end forms complementary base pairs with the 5' splice junction, thus defining the 5' donor site of an intron. Lineage: Eukaryota; Metazoa; Chordata; Mammalia; Rodentia; Cricetidae. The record is from RNAcentral.
AAACUCACCUGGCAGGAGAGUCACUUUGAUGCUUUUAUCAGAUUUUUUUUUAAACUGAUGGUGUGGAGGAUCACCUUUGAACUUUGGGUGUGUAGUCUCUACCAACUAUUCCUCAAUAUGGUAAACUUGAAUGCAUAAUUUGUGGUAUUGAGAGACUGUAUUUGUAUUCAUUUAAA